Molecule: ribosomal RNA, 429 nt
Filed under: Chloroflexota bacterium
Lineage: Bacteria; Bacillati; Chloroflexota
Description: Chloroflexi bacterium partial 16S ribosomal RNA
Rfam family: Bacterial small subunit ribosomal RNA
Source: RNAcentral
UGGGGAAUAUUGCACAAUGGGCGCAAGCCUGAUGCAGCCAUGCCGCGUGUGUGAAGAAGGCCUUCGGGUUGUAAAGCACUUUCAGCGGGGAGGAAGGCGGUGAGGUUAAUAACCUCAUCGAUUGACGUUACCCGCAGAAGAAGCACCGGCUAACUCCGUGCCAGCAGCCGCGGUAAUACGGAGGGUGCAAGCGUCAAUCGGAAUUACUGGGCGUAAAGCGCACGCAGGCGGUCUGUCAAGUCGGAUGUGAAAUCCCCGGGCUCAACCUGGGAACUGCAUUCGAAACUGGCAGGCUAGAGUCUUGUAGAGGGGGGUAGAAUUCCAGGUGUAGCGGUGAAAUGCGUAGAGAUCUGGAGGAAUACCGGUGGCGAAGGCGGCCCCCUGGACAAAGACUGACGCUCAGGUGCGAAAGCGUGGGGAGCAAACAGG